UCGAGGGGUAUGGCAGCAAUGCCAGAGACCGGCGCACGGGUGCGUAACGCGUAUGCAAUCUACCUUUUACAGGGGAAUAGCCCAGAGAAAUUUGGAUUAAUGCCCCAUGGUAUUAUAGAAUGGCAUCAUUUUAUGAUUAAAGUUCCAACGGUAAAAGAUGAGCAUGCGUCCCAUUAGUUAGUUGGUAAGGUAACGGCUUACCAAGACGAUGAUGGGUAGGGGUCCUGAGAGGGAGAUCCCCCACACUGGUACUGAGACACGGACCAGACUCCUACGGGAGGCAGCAGUGAGGAAUAUUGGACAAUGGGCGCAAGCCUGAUCCAGCCAUGCCGCGUGCAGGAAGAAGCAUCUAUGGUGUGUAAACUGCUUUUGUACAGGAAGAAACAUCCCGACGUGUCGGGACUUGACGGUACUGUAAGAAUAAGGAUCGGCUAACUCCGUGCCAGCAGCCGCGGUAAUACGGAGGAUCCAAGCGUUAUCCGGAAUCAUUGGGUUUAAAGGGUCCGUAGGCGGUUUAAUAAGUCAGUGGUGAAAUCUGGUCGCUCAACGAUCAAACGGCCAUUGAUACUGUUAGACUUGAAUUAUUGUGGAGUAACUAGAAUAUGUAGUGUAGCGGUGAAAUGCUUAGAUAUUACAUGGAAUACCAAUUGCGAAGGCAGGUUACUAACAAUGGAUUGACGCUGAUGGACGAAAGCGUGGGGAGCGAACAGGAUUAGAUACCCUGGUAGUC
RNAcentral lists this ribosomal RNA (730 nucleotides) under uncultured Bacteroidota bacterium. RNAcentral's name for it is "bacterial SSU rRNA". It matches the Rfam family "Bacterial small subunit ribosomal RNA", at positions 62 to 795 of the family's 1533-position model. Lineage: Bacteria; Pseudomonadati; Bacteroidota. The record is from RNAcentral.